This 536-nucleotide ribosomal RNA is filed under the name Staphylococcus warneri. RNAcentral describes it as "bacterial SSU rRNA". It matches the Rfam family "Bacterial small subunit ribosomal RNA", at positions 94 to 617 of the family's 1533-position model. The record is from RNAcentral. Lineage: Bacteria; Bacillati; Bacillota; Bacilli; Caryophanales; Staphylococcaceae.
AGCGGCGGACGGGUGAGUAACACGUGGAUAACCUACCUAUAAGACUGGGAUAACUUCGGGAAACCGGAGCUAAUACCGGAUAACAUAUUGAACCGCAUGGUUCAAUAGUGAAAGGCGGCUUUGCUGUCACUUAUAGAUGGAUCCGCGCCGUAUUAGCUAGUUGGUAAGGUAACGGCUUACCAAGGCAACGAUACGUAGCCGACCUGAGAGGGUGAUCGGCCACACUGGAACUGAGACACGGUCCAGACUCCUACGGGAGGCAGCAGUAGGGAAUCUUCCGCAAUGGGCGAAAGCCUGACGGAGCAACGCCGCGUGAGUGAUGAAGGUCUUCGGAUCGUAAAACUCUGUUAUCAGGGAAGAACAAAUGUGUAAGUAACUGUGCACAUCUUGACGGUACCUGAUCAGAAAGCCACGGCUAACUACGUGCCAGCAGCCGCGGUAAUACGUAGGUGGCAAGCGUUAUCCGGAAUUAUUGGGCGUAAAGCGCGCGUAGGCGGUUUUUUAAGUCUGAUGUGAAAGCCCACGGCUCAACCGUG